CUACCUGUCCCCUCCCCAGGGAACCUUGGAAGGGACUUUUUCCACAGGUUACAAAAGGCCAUUGGCUUCCUGGUGGGGGCAGCUCUUCAGCUGGUGACUCGAAUCCUCGAAUCCUCGGAGGUCUGAGGCCAGAGCUGCUGCUGCUGGCUGCCUGUGUCUGGGGGAAGCUGUGCCAUCCUCCAAGGCCUCAAAAAGCAGGAAGCAGGCUCAGCAGGUGGUGCGACCCAGGUCCCUGGUGACUGUCAGUUGUAGAGAGCCUAGAUGCUGUGACAGUGGGAAACACUUCAAAGUUUUAACAGCUAAAACAAGUUAUAAAAGGUUUCUAAUAAAUAAGAUAAAAGAGGGGCCGGGGAUUUAGCUCAGUGAUGCCACUGCCUUCCUCGCAAGCGCAAAGUCCUGAGUUCAAUCCCCAGUACCAAAAAAAAACACCAAAAAAAAGAUAAAAGAAAUAUUUGAAAGGCUACAAAGUAAAAAAUAUACUUUUGAUAAAAAAGAUUUUGUAUGUUUGUCUUGUUAAAAGGAUAAAGGGGGGUGGGGGAUUUAGCUCAGUGGUUUCGCCGCCUGCUGCGCAAGCACAAAGACCCCAGUUGGAACCCCGGUACCAAAAAAAAAAAAAAGGAUAAAGGGGCCAGGGAUUUAGCGCAGUGGUUCCACUGCCUGCCUCGAAAAGGACUUGAGUUCGAUCCCAGGUACCCAAAACAAACAAACAAAAGGAUGAUAAAGGGAGAUAUACAAGACCAAAAGGCCUACGGACACAGAAAAGGUAUAAAAAGUAAUUAUCAAGGAAAUAUAUAUGUUUGCUGGUUCCAAGUUUGUUAUAAAAGGUUUGCAUUUACAGGAAUAAAGCGGCUUUAUUCCUUCUGAUUCUAAUUUCAAGAGAUCUUUGUUAAUUGACCUACAAAAGUUUUGACUAGUCUUAAUUAAAAGGGACAUUAUAAUUUAAAUUGGUCAAAUAUAUCUGAGUGGACUGUAGUUUUAUAAGUUGUCUUAUAUAUUUGUCUGUCUUAUAUAGAUAAAUGUAACUAAAGAGAUACCUUCCUUUUCUCACAGGUCGAUAACUGAUCAAAAGGACAUCAAAGGUUAAUUUUGAUUAUAAUACAUACUGCUGUCUACAUUCAAUAACUCAAUGUAUAUAUUUUUAUUGGUUACAGAUAAUUUGUUAAUUGUUACAGUCUGGUUUUUACAGAUUAAAAAAAGUUAUUUCUGGUCUUUGUUCACUAAUGGGAGUCACAGUAAUUUUCAUAGCCUUAUGGGAUGAUAUACCCCCAAUAAACAUUACUUAAAUAUGUUAUUAUAAAAUGUUUGUAUUGGUUAUCAUCAAAGGGUUAAGUUCUAAAUAUGUUAUUAUGAUGUGUUUAUAUUGGUCAUCUUCCAAAACAAAAUUUUCAGUGGAAAUAAAACAAGUCGUUUUUAAAGGAUGCUUUGGAUACCAAGCUACAUUAUAGGACAUAAGGUUUCAUAUAAUUGUAAUAAUUAUUAUUGCUACUUUUCUGGUGUACAAAAUGUAUUCAUGUCUUCUGACUGUGCAGGUCUUCCAACAUUUUGUUUAUGGUGAUAACCUCUGUAUGAUCCAGGUAUUCACCUUUCUCUUGUGCUCCAGCUACUUGUGGUAAGAUGUACAUAUCAAGCCAACAUGAGAUAAUCAAUUGAAUAAUAGUGUUUCUUAAAACUUAUGUAAUGGGUAUGAUAUGUGUCACCAUACUUGGGAUGCUCAGGUGCUGAGUGGUCCAAACGAUGUCACAUGCUAAAAUUAAGGGCUAAACACUAUAAACUUCUAAGGUACAUUUAUAGGCUGUGUGGCUUUUUGAUGACAUCCUAUUAAAGGAUGACGAAUAAGGGUUUUUCUAUGUGAUAUUUGUCUUAUAAUCAAAUAGAGGUAUUUGACUAAAAGCUACUCCUUGCUAAGAUGGACAUUAAAUGUGUUACAAGGAUAAUGUCAUCAUGAUUGUUAUACUAAAAUACUAUGUGUGGCUCUUGAUCUUAAGCUUUUCUAUACAAUGUAUAAUGUUAUCUGUUAACAUUCUACAGGGAUUCAACUAAGACAACCAUGGUCUUCUAACUAUACUUUAUAUUUCAAAAGUGUUUAAUGUCCAACAAAAUUAUAAUAGUGACCUUCUCUUCUGUUUGUUCAAUAACUAAAGUUUAGAGACCAAAAUGAAAAGGUAACUGGGCUAAAGGACAACCAAUAUUUUGGCCCUGGCCCCUCAAGGUCAACAAAGAUCUUGGCGGCAGCCAUCAGAGGGGACCAAACUCUGGGAAGCCCAAAGGGCAGAUGCCAAAAAACCAGGAGGAUACCCAACAUUGGACAGAAGUCAAUGUGUCUACUGCAAGGAGAAAAGACACUGGAAAAAUGAAUGCCCCCAUCGACCCUCUGCCAAGGUACUGUCCCUCCCCACAUCCAGGGAAAGGGAAGACUUGGAGUGAGGGGUAGCUGGGGCUCCUUUGACCCCAGGAAGCCCAUGGUGAAUGCUGAAAUAGAGGGCCAACUGGUUCGCUUCCUGGUGGACACUGGCGCUGAGAGGUCAGUAAUGUUAAAAACUUCCCCUGGGCAAGCUUUCUUCACAAGUUAUUCCCAUCCAGGGGGCCAGAGAAGCAGUCCAGAACUGCCCACUCACAAGUGAAUGAACAGUAAACUUGGGACCAAAACAAGUUAUUCAUUCUUUUCUGGUGAUACCAGACUGCCCAUUCCACUUGCUGGGACGAGACCUCCCUCAUAAACUAAGGGCCACCGUUUCUUUCACUCUGACCAAGGCACAGAUGUCACUCUGUUCUUACCACUGCUUUAUCUGAGGAAUAUCUCCUCUUGGGGAAAGAAAGCACAGAGGAAACAAGCCCUGAGGGCUUAUUGGACAGACUCCAGGCUGAGUUCCUGAAGGUGUGGGUGGAAACUAAUCCACUGUGUUUGGCUGCCCAUCACACUCCAUUGGUAGUUGAACUCUUGUUGACAGCCACGCUUGUGCAAGUUCGACAAUAUCCCAUCUCUCAGAAAGCCAGAAAGGGGAUAGCCCCUCACAUCAAGAGGUUGCUGGACUUUGAGAUAUUGACUCCCUGUCUCCAUGGAACAUCCCGUUCCAGCCAGUACAGAAACCGGGACAUCAGAUUACAGGCCAGCCCAGGACUUGAGAGAAAUUAACCAACAAAUGGUAACUCUGUACCCUAACCUAUAUACCCUCCUGAGUUUGCUGUCUCCUGAGCACCAAAUGUAUAUUGUGCUAGAUUUAAAAGAUGCUUUUUUUCAGUCUGCCUCUAGCCCCAGCUAGCCAGCCCAUCUUUACCUUUGAAUGAACUUGACCCGGCUGCCUCAAGGAUUCAAGAACGCAGCCACUCUGUUCAGUGAGGCCUUCCAGGAGGACUUGGUGAGUUUUUUAUCCCACCACCCUAAACCUUCAAUAUAUGGAUGAUUUGUUGCUAGCUGCUGCCAAUCUUGCAGAAUGCCUAAAGGGAAUAGGAAAGCUUCUCUAGUUACUAGAGCAGUUGGUCUGCUUCAUCUCAGCCAAAAAGGCACAACUCUGUGCCUCCUGAGUGUUGUAUCCUGGGGUAUGAAAUCUCAGAAGAAGAAAAAAGAACUCUGGUCUCAAGCUAGAAAAUGGGCCAUUCUCCAGGUAUCCACACUAACUACCAAGAAACAGGAGGAGACGAACCCCUAGAAUGGGGAACAGAAGAGGAAAAGGCAUUCCAAGAUCUAAAACAGGCACUGGUAUCAGCCCCAGCUCUGGCGUUGCCUAAUAUCACCAAGCUGCCAUUUUAUCUGUUCAUCCACAAGGUUUGCCUUUGCUAUGCUACCUGGCCAUCAUUCAUAUCCAGAGACAUCAAAGACACAAUACUCCAGAAACAAAAGGAAACCAGCCCGCAGACUGAGCCACCAGGGAGGCAGACCUAAGACCAUUUAAGCCUUUAAUCAUUCUGCCUGCUAUAAGUCUACCUCCCCCUCUGCUCCUGGCUAGUCCCAUUUACAAUAAAGAGGAAGACAAAUAAUCAAACCAGUUGCAAGCAAAAAAGGACCCCCAAGGCUGGUGGAAAUGUCCAGAUGGCCAUAUCUACCUCCCUCAGGCACAAGGGAGACAACUCAUUCAGCAGCUACAUUUAGUCAUGCACCUUGGGGGCUCCAAGAUAGAUGAGCUUCUAGUGCCAGGCUCUCUAGCUCUCUAGCUUCUAGGCUCUCCAGGCCUCUCCUUGGUGGCCAGCCUGUGUGUAAGUAAAUCCUCACCAGUGCCCAUCUGCACCCCUUGGAAUUCAAUUCAGGAGAAUGAGUCCGGGGCUAACAUUGGAAAGUGGACUUCACAGAGAUCAAGCUGCAGGCUGGCGACUAUUGAUAUCUUCUGGUAUUCAUUGAUACUGUCUCAGGUUGGGUGGAAAUCUAUGCUGCUCAGCAGAAAACUGCCACUCUGGUGGAAAAAGCUGCUCCAGGAAUUGAUCCCCAGGUUUGGGAUACCGGUGUCCAUUGGAUGUGACAAUGGCCCUGCCUUCAUAGCCUCUAUAAGUCAGUCAAUAGGGCACUGGGUAUAAAUUGGAAACUCCACUGUGCCUACCAACCUCAAAGCUCACAGCAAAUGGAACGAAUGAAUCGAACCCUAAGAUCUACUUUGACCAAAUUGAUUUUAGAAACCGGUGAAGGGUGGGUCAACCUGCUGCCCCUGGCCAUCCUUCGAGUGAGAUGCACCCUUUAUAAAGUGGGCUUUACUUCUUAUGUUUAAAAGGCCUCCUUCCCUGCUCCCCAAAGUAAAAAACUGAGAAGCUAGAGGAAUCUUCUAACCAGUCUCUGUUAAAGUACCUUCAGUCCCUUGAACAGGUAGAGGCUUCUGUCCAUGCCAGUGUACACUGUGCCUUACCCUUACCCGGCUCUGUCCCCUUACCCGGCUCUGUCCCCUGACCUUCAUUCCAGCUGGUACCUUCAGUCCCUUGAACAGGUACAGGCUUCUGUCCAUGCCAGUGUACACUGUGCCUUACCCUUACCCGGCUCUGUCCCCUGACCUUCAUUCCAGCUGGGAGACACCAUACUCAUCAAGGAUUUCCAGAAAGAGACUCACCCUGCUCUGGAAGGGACCAUACACUGUUGUCCUCAUCCUCAUUUUCCUCGGGCUCCUGACUGGGCCUUGUGUUCUUAAUUAGAUAAUUAACUUUGUAAAACAGUGUAUAGCCUCUGUUAAACACAGUGUGCAGCCUCUGUGAAACUGUUGUACAUGAGAACCUACUAUAAUUCCCUACCCACUCAGGAGGCUCAAGAUAAGUCAGUGCUUUGACAUCAUACUUAGAGGAGUUGGGAAUGUGAUAGCCAACCUGACUCCAUUUGUGUAAAGUCCAGAUGGUUGCCUUCCCCUUCUCCCUUAGGAGUCCCCUCAGUUAAUGCAUGACUGACUGCUGCAUCCCAUGUGAGUUUGCAAUGAUGUUAUCUUUAUUGCCUUGUAAACAGAAGACUGCACCUGUGAUAUUUUGUUUUAAUUAAGCUGUGUGAAACUUCCCCUGACCCCCACUAACUUAGCAAAGUUCUGCUCCUCUGAAAUUCUGCUUGUGCUGCCCCUCUCCCUGAGCCCUCCCCAAAUAGAAGAGCCCUUAAAAGGACCUUGCAAACUGCCUUGUCUUUGUCCAGUUUUUUUCUGGCGAGAGCCACUCUGGAAAGCCGGCUAUGAUGAUGAAAGACUCAAUUUAAUUCAAUGUGGUGCAUCAUUAUAGUUCCAACUCACCUGGCCCUAUAACAAGGUCAGCCUCAUUUGAAUACUUUCAAGUUUCUAUGUUAUAAAAGAGUCUUUGCAUCUCUGAUGUAUUAAGAUCGCUUCAGUUACAAGGGAAAGAGAAUCCUGUGCAAAUUUGCUUGAACAAUUUAAGGAAAUUUGGAGGUAAUGUGGAUGUUUUGGAGUCUGUUCUGGCCUGCUUCAUGGUAUAAUCAAAGGUCCUGUUCCUUCCCAUUCCACAGUUUUGCCUUCCAGAUAUCAGCUUUAUCUUAAGGCUGGCUUAUGUGGGAGUGCUUGUGUUUUGCCCUGCUCCGUGUACAGUAAGCAAGCUUGGAUUGUUUCUGAGACAGUGAGGUUUUUUAUAUACCCUCCAGAAAACUAUUCUUUGUGACCCAGAGGUCCUAUUUGAAAUCAUAUGCCCACAUAUUAACUUAAACCUGUUUUGUAAGUGGGAUUAUGGUUCCCUUAGGACUGAAUAUGUACGUAUUAGAACUAGUGAUGGAAUUGACUUCCCCUCAAAGUACAUGUGCUGUAUAUGGGUGGUAUAAACAAAAAUCAGGAUAAGUAUGAAGAGAAGAAUUAUAAAUCAAAAGGUCAUUUAUAAUAUCUACCUCACUUGCUUCUACCUACUUUCCACCCUACCUUCAUGAAUCUUGACAAAUGUACUCAUAAAUUGUUCUUUAAUAUUAUAAUAUUACUGAUACAUACCCAUCAUGUCAAAAUGAGAAAUGUGAACUUAAAAAAUAAAACUCAUACUUUUAAAGCAGAA
This 6438-nucleotide long non-coding RNA is filed under the name Heterocephalus glaber (naked mole-rat). RNAcentral's name for it is "lncRNA (ENSHGLG00000050820.1)". Lineage: Eukaryota; Metazoa; Chordata; Mammalia; Rodentia; Bathyergidae. The record is from RNAcentral.